This 258-nucleotide ribosomal RNA is filed under the name uncultured bacterium. RNAcentral's name for it is "partial 16S ribosomal RNA". It matches the Rfam family "Bacterial small subunit ribosomal RNA", at positions 57 to 305 of the family's 1533-position model. The record is from RNAcentral.
GCAAGUCGAACGAGAACUAGAUCUUUCGUAAGAAAGGUCUAGGGACAGUGGCGAACGGGUGCGUAACACGUGAGAAACCUGCCCUGGAGAUUGGGAUAGCCCGAGGAAACUCGGAUUAAUACCAAAUAUGCUCACAGGACCACAUGGUCCGGUGAGGAAACAGUCCGCUGCUCCAGGAUGGUCUCGCGGCCUAUCAGCUUGUUGGUGAGGUAAUGGCUCACCAAGGCUCCGACGGGUAGCUGGUCUGAGAGGACGAUC